RNAcentral lists this ribosomal RNA (253 nucleotides) under uncultured bacterium. RNAcentral describes it as "partial 16S ribosomal RNA". It matches the Rfam family "Bacterial small subunit ribosomal RNA", at positions 524 to 776 of the family's 1533-position model. The record is from RNAcentral.
UACGUAGGGGGCUAGAGUUGUCCGGAUUUACUGGGUGUAAAGGGUGCUCAGGUGGACUUGUAAGUCAGAGGUGAAAUUCCAAAGCUUAACUUUGGAGCUGCCUUUGAUACUGCAAGCCUUGAGUUUGAGAGAGGGUAAUGGAAUAUCUGGUGUAGCAGUGAAAUGCGUAGAUAUCAGAUAGAACACCAAUGGCGAAGGCAGUUAUCUGGCUCAAAACUGACGCUAAAGCACGAAAGUGUGGGGAGCAAACAGG